CACAAAAUCCACAAACCAACAACAACAAGAACGUGCUGAGGCAGGCGGCACUUGACGGGUUAAAUGUGUUGUCGUUGUUUUUCUUUAUUUUUUGCUCUGUCGUUUUUCUAUACUUUGUUGUGGUUUUUUUUUAUUUAUUGUAUGCCGCUUUUUUUUGCAUGUCGGGUAAAUUGGGCUUUGCUAAACUUUUCAUAAGUUUGAGUUUUAAUAGCGAAUUUUCGUAUUUUUUCCCUCAUACGUUUUCGUUUUUGUGUAAGCGAAUUUAAAGCUUUUUAGCAUUUUUAUAUCCCGCCCCAAGCAGCAAACUAAAAACAGAUUUUGUUCGUCAUACUUAUAACCUUGAAAUAUCGAAACAAUUUGCUUUGGAUAUGGCGAUAUGGCAAUAUGACAAUAUGGAAAGGUGGCGUUGUUAUUGUUUGUUAACUUCCAAUUACUGUCAGACUGUCUAUAUCUCUGUCUCUCUCAUACACUGCCAAUGUGCGUGUGUGGGGGAGUGGGCCGCAAGUAUAUAUGUAUGUAUAUGUUCAUAUAUGUACGGAUUAGCGUAGAAAUGUCAUUUGUUUUCUUGUUAGCCCCUUUCUUUGAGCUUCUCAAAAUUUGCCGCUACACUUUUGCUCUUACACUCGUUCUCUCUCUCCCCGCAUACUUUGUUCAUUUAUUCACAUGCAAAUUCCAUAAGAGUUUUUGUUUAUUUUGUUUUGUUUCACAUUCGUGCGUGGGUGGCUGAUCUAAGUUCUCAGUUGUUGUUGUUACUGCGACUGCCUUACGCAACUCACACACACACUGAGAGGUGCACAGGCACAAGCCGUAGCUCCAAAGAGAGAGUAAACAAGAGAGGGAGGCAGUGAACACGAUCCUGCCAAAAACGAAAUGCGCUUCGUCGCUGCUCAGCGCUCUCUUCACUCUCGUUUUGCUGCCUCUCUCUGAAACCAUCGGCAUGCAAAAACAAAAAGACAAAAAAAUAAAAUUAUUCUGCUGCUGCUGCUGCUGCUGCAGUCUUUAUUGCUUUGAACUUUUUGUGGCCAAUGGCGAUUUUGGGCGACAAAACUACAGCCACCCGCACACACAGACACGCGUACACUUGCGGAUAGGAAAUAUAAACAAGAAAAAUAUUAAAGAGAAUAUGACAGCAAACAGUAAAAUGUAAAUACGAAUAUCCAGUAUUUGCAUUUCGAGUGAAAUCAGCACACAAAA
Drosophila innubila is the source of this 1194-nucleotide long non-coding RNA. RefSeq lists it as uncharacterized. Lineage: Eukaryota; Metazoa; Arthropoda; Insecta; Diptera; Drosophilidae. The record is from RefSeq and is a predicted model, not a curated record. The transcript is spliced from 2 exons.